GUGUGAGCAUGCCUGUCGGGA
RNAcentral lists this non-coding RNA (21 nucleotides) under Arabidopsis thaliana (thale cress). The record is from RNAcentral. Lineage: Eukaryota; Viridiplantae; Streptophyta; Magnoliopsida; Brassicales; Brassicaceae.